Molecule: ribosomal RNA, 792 nt
Filed under: uncultured bacterium
Lineage: Bacteria
Description: bacterial SSU rRNA
Rfam family: Bacterial small subunit ribosomal RNA
Source: RNAcentral
CAGGGUUUGAUCCUGGCUCAGAUUGAACGCUAGCGGGAUGCCUUACACAUGCAAGUCGAACGGCAGCACGGACUUCGGUCUGGUGGCGAGUGGCGAACGGGUGAGUAAUGUAUCGGAACGUGCCCAGUAGCGGGGGAUAAAUACGCGAAAGCGUAGCUAAUACCGCAUACGCCCUACGGGGGAAAGCAGGGGAUCGCAAGACCUUGCACUAUUGGAGCGGCCGAUAUCGGAUUAGCUAGUUGGUGGGGUAACGGCUCACCAAGGCGACGAUCCGUAGCUGGUUUGAGAGGACGACCAGCCACACUGGGACUGAGACACGGCCCAGACUCCUACGGGAGGCAGCAGUGGGGAAUUUUGGACAAUGGGGGAAACCCUGAUCCAGCCAUCCCGCGUGUGCGAUGAAGGCCUUCGGGUUGUAAAGCACUUUUGGCAGGAAAGAAACGUCGCGGGUUAAUACCCCGCGAAACUGACGGUACCUGCAGAAUAAGCACCGGCUAACUACGUGCCAGCAGCCGCGGUAAUACGUAGGGUGCAAGCGUUAAUCGGAAUUACUGGGCGUAAAGCGUGCGCAGGCGGUUCGGAAAGAAAGAUGUGAAAUCCCAGAGCUUAACUUUGGAACUGCAUUUUUAACUACCGGGCUAGAGUGUGUCAGAGGGAGGUGGAAUUCCGCGUGUAGCAGUGAAAUGCGUAGAUAUGCGGAGGAACACCGAUGGCGAAGGCAGCCUCCUGGGAUAACACUGACGCUCAUGCACGAAAGCGUGGGGGAGCAAACAAGAUUAGAUACCCUGGUAG